CCUACGGGAGGCAGCAGUGGGGAAUAUUGCACAAUGGGGGAAACCCUGAUGCAGCAACGCCGCGUGAGUGAAGAAGUAUCUCGGUAUGUAAAGCUCUAUCAGCAGGGAAGUAGAAUGACGGUAGCUGACUAAGAAGCCCCUGCUAACUACGUGCCAGCAGCCGCGGUAAUACGUAGGGGGCAAGCGUUCUCCGGACUUACUGGGUGUAAAGGGAGCGUAGGCGGUUGUGCAAGUCUGAGGUGAAAGCCCGUGGCUCAACCGCGGAACUGCUAUGGAAACUGUAUAGCUUGAGUACUGGAGAGGCAGGCGGAAUUCCUGGUGUAGCGGUGAAAUGCGUAGAUAUUACGAGGAACACCAGUGGCGAAGGCGGCCUACUAGACAGAAACUGACGUUGAGGCUCGAAAGCGUGGGGAGCAAACAGGAUUAGAUACCCUUGUAGUC
RNAcentral lists this ribosomal RNA (441 nucleotides) under uncultured bacterium. RNAcentral's name for it is "partial 16S ribosomal RNA". It matches the Rfam family "Bacterial small subunit ribosomal RNA", at positions 338 to 795 of the family's 1533-position model. The record is from RNAcentral.